AGAGUUUGAUCAUGGCUCAGGAUGAACGCUAGCGGCAGGCCUAACACAUGCAAGUCGAGGGGUAGUUAUCUUCGGAUAAUGAGACCGGCGCACGGGUGCGUAACGCGUAUGCAAUCUACCUUGUACAGAGGGAUAGCCCAGAGAAAUUUGGAUUAAUACCUCAUAGUAUAUUUUUAUCGCAUGAUUUAAAUAUUAAAGAUUUAUCGGUACAAGAUGAGCAUGCGUCCCAUUAGUUAGUUGGUAAGGUAACGGCUUACCAAGACAAUGAUGGGUAGGGGUCCUGAGAGGGAGAUCCCCCACACUGGUACUGAGACACGGACCAGACUCCUACGGGAGGCAGCAGUGAGGAAUAUUGGACAAUGGGCGCAAGCCUGAUCCAGCCAUGCCGCGUGCAGGAAGACGGUCCUAUGGAUUGUAAACUGCUUUUGUACAGGAAGAAACACUCCCUCGUGAGGGAGCUUGACGGUACUGUAAGAAUAAGGAUCGGCUAACUCCGUGCCAGCAGUCGCGGUAAU
RNAcentral lists this ribosomal RNA (515 nucleotides) under uncultured bacterium. RNAcentral describes it as "bacterial SSU rRNA". It matches the Rfam family "Bacterial small subunit ribosomal RNA", at positions 8 to 524 of the family's 1533-position model. The record is from RNAcentral.